RNAcentral lists this ribosomal RNA (1362 nucleotides) under uncultured bacterium. RNAcentral's name for it is "16S ribosomal RNA". It matches the Rfam family "Bacterial small subunit ribosomal RNA", at positions 28 to 1381 of the family's 1533-position model. The record is from RNAcentral.
GAUGAACGCUAGCGACAGGCUUAACACAUGCAAGUCGAGGGGCAGCAGGGGAGUAGCAAUACUCCCGCUGGCGACCGGCGCACGGGUGAGUAACACGUAUGCAACCUGCCCUUGUCAGGGGGAUAAGCGGAAGAAAUUCCGUCUAAUACCGCAUAAUGCUGCGGGGAGACAUCUCCCUGCAGCCAAAGAUUUAUCGGACAAGGAUGGGCAUGCGGCGCAUUAGCUGGUUGGCGGGGUAACGGCCCACCAAGGCGACGAUGCGUAGGGGUUCUGAGAGGAAGGUCCCCCACACUGGUACUGAGACACGGACCAGACUCCUACGGGAGGCAGCAGUGAGGAAUAUUGGUCAAUGGCCGGGAGGCUGAACCAGCCAAGUCGCGUGAGGGAAGACGGUCCUAUGGAUUGUAAACCUCUUUUGUCAGGGAGCAAAAACUGCCACGCGUGGCAGGAUGAGAGUACCUGAAGAAAAAGCAUCGGCUAACUCCGUGCCAGCAGCCGCGGUAAUACGGAGGAUGCGAGCGUUAUCCGGAUUUAUUGGGUUUAAAGGGUGCGUAGGCGGACAGUUAAGUCAGCGGUAAAAUUGAGAGGCUCAACCUCUUCCCGCCGUUGAAACUGAUUGUCUUGAGUGGGCGAGAAGUAUGCGGAAUGCGUGGUGUAGCAGUGAAAUGCAUAGAUAUCACGCAGAACUCCGAUUGCGAAGGCAGCAUACCGGCGCCCAACUGACGCUGAAGCACGAAAGCGUGGGUAUCGAACAGGAUUAGAUACCCUGGUAGUCCACGCAGUAAACGAUGAAUACUAAUUGUUCGGGUCAAAUGAGAUCUGAGUGAUACAGCGAAAGCGUUAAGUAUUCCACCUGGGGAGUACGCCGGCAACGGUGAAACUCAAAGGAAUUGACGGGGGCCCGCACAAGCGGAGGAACAUGUGGUUUAAUUCGAUGAUACGCGAGGAACCUUACCCGGGCUCAAACGACACAGGAAUGAUCUGAGAAAUCAGGCAGUCCUCCGGGACCUGUGUCGAGGUGCUGCAUGGUUGUCGUCAGCUCGUGCCGUGAGGUGUCGGCUUAAGUGCCAUAACGAGCGCAACCCCCAUCGACAGUUGCCAGCAGGUGAAGCUGGGCACUCUGUCGAGACUGCCGGCGCAAGCUGUGAGGAAGGCGGGGGUGACGUCAAAUCAGCACGGCCCUUACGUCCGGGGCGACACACGUGUUACAAUGGCAGGUACAGCGGGAAGCCACCUGGCGACAGGGAGCGGAACCCGAAAGCCUGUCUCAGUUCGGAUUGGAGUCUGCAACUCGACUCCAUGAAGCUGGACUCGCUAGUAAUCGCGCAUCAGCCACGGCGCGGUGAAUACGUUCCCGGGCCU